This 573-nucleotide long non-coding RNA is filed under the name Setaria viridis. RNAcentral's name for it is "long non-coding RNA (SVIR_LNC000302)". Lineage: Eukaryota; Viridiplantae; Streptophyta; Magnoliopsida; Poales; Poaceae. The record is from RNAcentral.
AAACCAAACAAUGGCAAGGUCCAAAUCAUGGUAUUCAAGUAUUAAGCUAUUGUUUGAUUUGCAUUCUUGGGACCUAUAAAACCUACAAGGUACAUGCAAGACAAUCCAUUAGUCCCAAUGACUAUGUUGUCACUCAAUCACCAAAAUCACAAACUAUGGCCUAAUGGGGCCAUGUUCGCUACAAUCUCUCCCUUUUUGGUGAUUGAUGACAACACAAUCAAAGUAAUCAUAAAUUUGCAAAAAUUGACCAGUUGAACCACUUACAAUUGCUUGGAUGCUUACCAUCAUCCAACUUGUACUUGAUCUCCUUGUUCAUCCUCAUCUUGUUUCACUUCUCUCCCCCUUGACAUAUUUCUCCUUAUUUCUUGAACUUCUCCCCCUUAUGCAUGUUUCACUUCUAGGACUUUCUUUGAUUCCACACUUCUCCCUCUUUGGAUCAAAUCACCUAAAAGAUAGCUCCAAAGACUUGCAAACCUAAAAGAACUUGCAAACAACAUAGCUCAAAGGGAAACAUUAGUAGCCUAAGAAAAUAGCUCCAUGAACCAUGAUCCACAUGAGAUAGCAUCAAUGAAG